GUCCCUAUUGCAUAACUGGAUAAUGCAAUCCCCUCCUAAGGGAUAGCUCCUGGUUCGAGUCCGGGUGGGGACGCCA
This 76-nucleotide transfer RNA is filed under the name Methyloprofundus sp. RNAcentral's name for it is "tRNA-Arg". It matches the Rfam family "tRNA". From Rfam's summary of the family: Transfer RNA (tRNA) molecules are approximately 80 nucleotides in length. Their secondary structure includes four short double-helical elements and three loops (D, anti-codon, and T loops). Lineage: Bacteria; Pseudomonadati; Pseudomonadota; Gammaproteobacteria; Methylococcales; Methylococcaceae. The record is from RNAcentral.